This 506-nucleotide ribosomal RNA is filed under the name Marinobacter lipolyticus. RNAcentral describes it as "bacterial SSU rRNA". It matches the Rfam family "Bacterial small subunit ribosomal RNA", at positions 69 to 566 of the family's 1533-position model. The record is from RNAcentral. Lineage: Bacteria; Pseudomonadati; Pseudomonadota; Gammaproteobacteria; Pseudomonadales; Marinobacteraceae.
GUAACAGGGGGAGCUUGCUCCCCGCUGACGAGCGGCGGACGGGUGAGUAAUGCUUAGGAAACUGCCCAGUAGUGGGGGAUAGCCCGGGGAAACCCGGAUUAAUACCGCGUACGCCCUUCGGGGGAAAGCAGGGGCUCUUCGGACCUUGCGCUAUUGGAUGUGCCUAAGUCGGAUUAGCUAGUUGGUGGGGUAAAGGCCUACCAAGGCGACGAUCCGUAGCUGGUCUGAGAGGAUGAUCAGCCACAUCGGGACUGAGACACGGCCCGAACUCCUACGGGAGGCAGCAGUGGGGAAUAUUGGACAAUGGGGGCAACCCUGAUCCAGCCAUGCCGCGUGUGUGAAGAAGGCUUUCGGGUUGUAAAGCACUUUCAGUGAGGAGGAAGGCUGUAAGGUUAAUACCCUUGCAGAUUGACGUUACUCACAGAAGAAGCACCGGCUAACUCCGUGCCAGCAGCCGCGGUAAUACGGAGGGUGCAAGCGUUAAUCGGAAUUACUGGGCGUAAAGC